GGGGACAGGGUACCAAGUGUGUUACCUGGUGAGACAGGGAGGGGACAGGGUACCAGGUGUGUUACCUGGUGAGACAGGGAGGGGACAGGGUACCAGGUGUGUUACCUGGUGAGACAGGGAGGGGACAGGGUACCAGGUGUGUUACCUGGUGAGACAGGGAGGGGACAGGGUACCAGGUGUGUUACCUGGUGAGACAGGGAGGGGACAGGGUACCAGGUGUGUUACCUGGUGAGACAGGGAGGGGACAGGGUACCAGGUGUGUUACCUGGUGAGACAGGGAGGGGACAGGGUCCCAGGUGUGGUAGGGGUGGUGUGUGUGUACGUUGUCUCUCUUCGACACCAUGGCCUGGAUCUCUCUCUCCACGGCUCCUCUGAUCACUGACAACUUCCUGCCAAACCUGAAGGGA
Oncorhynchus tshawytscha (Chinook salmon) is the source of this 407-nucleotide long non-coding RNA. The record is from Ensembl. NCBI's taxonomy places the organism in Eukaryota, Metazoa, Chordata, Actinopteri, Salmoniformes, Salmonidae.